Molecule: ribosomal RNA, 497 nt
Filed under: uncultured bacterium
Lineage: Bacteria
Description: partial 16S ribosomal RNA
Rfam family: Bacterial small subunit ribosomal RNA
Source: RNAcentral
GACGAACGCUGGCGGCGUGCCUAAUACAUGCAAGUUGAGCGCUGAAGGUUGGUACUUGUACCAACUGGAUGAGCAGCGAACGGGUGAGUAACGCGUGGGGAAUCUGCCUUUGAGCGGGGGACAACAUUUGGAAACGAAUGCUAAUACCGCAUAAAAACUUUAAACACAAGUUUUAAGUUUGAAAGAUGCAAUUGCAUCACUCAAAGAUGAUCCCGCGUUGUAUUAGCUAGUUGGUGAGGUAAAGGCUCACCAAGGCGAUGAUACAUAGCCGACCUGAGAGGGUGAUCGGCCACAUUGGGACUGAGACACGGCCCAAACUCCUACGGGAAGCAGCAGGAGGGAAUCUUCGGCAAGGGACGAAAGUCUGACCGAGCAACGCCGCGUGAGUGAAGAAGGGUGUCGGAUCGUAAAACUCUGUUGGUAGAGAAGAACGUUGGUGAGAGUGGAAAGCUCAUCAAGUGACGGUAACUACCCAGAAAGGGACGGCUAACUACGUG